This 1243-nucleotide ribosomal RNA is filed under the name metagenome. RNAcentral describes it as "bacterial LSU rRNA". It matches the Rfam family "Bacterial large subunit ribosomal RNA", at positions 1564 to 2815 of the family's 2925-position model. The record is from RNAcentral.
UGAAUACGAGACGCUAAGGCGUCGAAGUAGUGUAUGUCAUACUUCCAAGAAAAGCUUGCACUGUCAUAAGUAAAAAAUGCCUGUACCAUAACCGACACAGGUGGGUAGGUAGAGUAUACUAAGGGGCGCGAGAUAACUCUCUCUAAGGAACUCGGCAAAAUAACUCCGUAACUUCGGGAGAAGGAGUACCUUAUUCUAUAAGGUUGCAAUAACAAGAUCCAAGCAACUGUUUAUCAAAAACACAGGUCUCCGCUAAGUCGUAAGACGAUGUAUGGGGGCUGACGCCUGCCCAGUGCCAGAAGGUUAAAGAAGUCGGUUAGCAUUAGCGAAGCUGGUAACUGAAGCCCUGGUGAACGGCGGCCGUAACAAUAACGGUCCUAAGGUAGCGAAAUUCCUUGUCGGGUAAGUUCCGACCCGCACGAAAGGCGUAAUGAUUUGGAUACUGUCUCGGAGAGGGGCUCGGUGAAAUAGACUUGUCUGUGAAGAUGCGGACUACCUGCACCAGGACAGAAAGACCCUAUGAAGCUUUACUGUAACUUGAAAUUGAAAUUGGACUUUAUUCGCGCAGUAUAGGUGGGAGGUGUUGAUUAUAAUCUUGCGGGAUUAUUGGAGCCAUCAGUGAGAUACCACUCUUGUAAUGUUAGAUUUCUAACUUUGAAUCAUUAUCUGGUCAAAGGACAGUUUCAGGCGGGCAGUUUGACUGGGGCGGUCGCCUCCCAAACGGUAACGGAGGCGUACAAAGGUUUCCUCUGAACGGGUAGAAAUCGUAUCUAGAGUGUAAAGGCAUAAGGAAGCUUGACUGUGAGACCUACAAGUCGAACAGGGACGAAAGUCGGUCUUAGUGAUCUGACGGUACUGAGUGGAAAGGCCGUCACUCAACGGAUAAAAGUUACUCUAAGGAUAACAGGCUGAUCUCCCCCAAGAGUUCACAUCGACGGGGAGGUUUGGCACCUCGAUGUCGGCUCAUCGCAUCCUGGGGCGGUAGUACGUCCCAAGGGUUGGGCUGUUCGCCCAUGAAAGCGGUACGCGAGCUGGGUUCAGAACGUCGUGAGACAGUUCGGUCCAUAUCCGGUGUAGGCGUUAGAAUAUUAAGAGGAGCCUUCUUUAGUACGAGAGGACCGAGAAGGACAUACCUCUGGUGUACCAGUUAUCGUGCCAACGGUAAACGCUGGGUAGCUAUGUAUGGAGUGGAUAACCGCUGAAAGCAUCUAAGUGGGAAGCCCACCUCAAGAUAAGUAUUCAC